This 414-nucleotide unclassified non-coding RNA is filed under the name Hevea brasiliensis (rubber tree). The record is from RNAcentral. Lineage: Eukaryota; Viridiplantae; Streptophyta; Magnoliopsida; Malpighiales; Euphorbiaceae.
UUUUCCAUUUCUUUGUUUCCAUCACCACCACUCACUCUCUCUCCCCUCUCUCUCAGUGGAGCUGAGAAAACGAUGUCGUAGAAUAGGAAAACCAAAUCAAACCAACCCCAUGUUUCAUUUUCCUCUUUGUGUAGAUGUGUAAACAAAGAAUCUAAGAUUCUAAUGCUGUAAUUGUGGUAAAAAUCCAAUCUUUUUUGCAUUUCUGUGAUUUUUGUGAAGAAAAGAUUCAACCCCAGAAGAGAAAAAAUGAGCUUGGAUCCAGUUGUGUCUUCUUCUCAAGGGAAUCUUGAUGAGCAGAUUGCUCAGCUUAUGCAGUGCAAGCCCUUAUCUGAACAAGAGGUAAAAGGAUUAUGUCAGAAAGCAAAGGAGAUAUUAAUGGAUGAAAGCAACGUGCAGCCUGUGAAAAGCCCUGUG